RNAcentral lists this ribosomal RNA (301 nucleotides) under uncultured bacterium. RNAcentral describes it as "partial 16S ribosomal RNA". It matches the Rfam family "Bacterial small subunit ribosomal RNA", at positions 509 to 809 of the family's 1533-position model. The record is from RNAcentral.
CAGCAGCCGCGGUAAUACGAAGGGUGCAAGCGUUACUCGGAAUUACUGGGCGUAAAGCGUGCGUAGGUGGUGGUUUAAGUCCGUUGUGAAAUCCCCGGGCUCAACCUGGGAAUGGCAGUUGAUACUGGCUCGCUAGAGUGUGUCAGAGGAUGGUGGAAUUCCCGGUGUAGCGGUGAAAUGCGUAGAGAUCGGGAGGAACAUCAGUGGCGAAGGCGGCCAUCUGGGACAACACUGACGCUGAGGCACGAAAGCGUGGGGAGCAAACAGGAUUAGAUACCCGUGUAGUCCCUGUCUCUUAUCC